UACGUAGGGUGCAAGCGUUGUCCGGAAUUAUUGGGCGUAAAGAGCUCGUAGGCGGUUUGUCGCGUCUGCUGUGAAAACUCGGGGCUUAACUCCGGGCCUGCAGUGGGUACGGGCAGACUAGAGUGCGGUAGGGGAGACUGGAAUUCCUGGUGUAGCGGUGAAAUGCGCAGAUAUCAGGAGGAACAUCGGUGGCGAAGGCGGGUCUCUGGGCCGAUACUGACGCUGAGGAGCGAAAGCGUGGGGAGCGAACAGG
This 253-nucleotide ribosomal RNA is filed under the name uncultured bacterium. RNAcentral's name for it is "partial 16S ribosomal RNA". It matches the Rfam family "Bacterial small subunit ribosomal RNA", at positions 524 to 776 of the family's 1533-position model. The record is from RNAcentral.